Molecule: transfer RNA, 77 nt
Filed under: Porticoccaceae bacterium
Lineage: Bacteria; Pseudomonadati; Pseudomonadota; Gammaproteobacteria; Cellvibrionales; Porticoccaceae
Description: tRNA-Leu
Source: RNAcentral
AGCAAUAGUUAGAGGCGCGCCUAAUCUCAGCAUUCAUAAUGCUGGGGUCGGUGGUUCAAGUCCACCCGUAGCUACCA